AAUCAACGCUGGCGGCGUGCCUAACACAUGCAAGUCGCGCGCGAAAGGGGGGCAACUCCCAAGUAGAGCGGCGAACGGGUGAGUAACACGUGGGUAAUCUACCUUCGAGUGGGGAACAACACCGGGAAACUGGUGCUAAUUCCGCAUAACAUCGUCGGGGCUUCGGUUCUGACGCUCAAAGCUGGGGAUCGCAAGACCUAGCGCUUGAAGAUGAGCCCGCGUCCGAUUAGCUAGNGGCGGGGGUAAUGGCCCACCAAGGCUUCGAUCGGUAGCCGGCCUGAGAGGGCGGACGGCCACACUGGAACUGAGACACGGUCCAGACUCCUACGGGAGGCAGCAGUGGGGAAUUUUUCGCAAUGGGGGCAACCCUGACGAAGCAACGCCGCGUGGGGA
This 393-nucleotide ribosomal RNA is filed under the name uncultured bacterium. RNAcentral's name for it is "bacterial SSU rRNA". It matches the Rfam family "Bacterial small subunit ribosomal RNA", at positions 29 to 407 of the family's 1533-position model. The record is from RNAcentral.